RNAcentral lists this ribosomal RNA (496 nucleotides) under Staphylococcus aureus. RNAcentral describes it as "bacterial SSU rRNA". It matches the Rfam family "Bacterial small subunit ribosomal RNA", at positions 948 to 1442 of the family's 1533-position model. The record is from RNAcentral. Lineage: Bacteria; Bacillati; Bacillota; Bacilli; Caryophanales; Staphylococcaceae.
AAUUCGAAGCAGCGCGAAGAACCUUACCAAAUCUUGACAUCCUUUGACCGCUCUAGAGAUAGAGUCUUCCCCUUCGGGGGACAAAGUGACAGGUGGUGCAUGGUUGUCGUCAGCUCGUGUCGUGAGAUGUUGGGUUAAGUCCCGCAACGAGCGCAACCCUUAAGCUUAGUUGCCAUCAUUAAGUUGGGCACUCUAAGUUGACUGCCGGUGACAAACCGGAGGAAGGUGGGGAUGACGUCAAAUCAUCAUGCCCCUUAUGAUUUGGGCUACACACGUGCUACAAUGGACAAUACAAAGGGCAGCUAAACCGCGAGGUCAAGCAAAUCCCAUAAAGUUGUUCUCAGUUCGGAUUGUAGUCUGCAACUCGACUACAUGAAGCUGGAAUCGCUAGUAAUCGUAGAUCAGCAUGCUACGGUGAAUACGUUCCCGGGUCUUGUACACACCGCCCGUCACACCAGCGAGAGUUUGUAACACCCGAAGCCGGUGGAGUAACCAU